This 119-nucleotide ribosomal RNA is filed under the name Prolemur simus (greater bamboo lemur). The record is from RNAcentral. Lineage: Eukaryota; Metazoa; Chordata; Mammalia; Primates; Lemuridae.
GUGUAGGGCCAUACCACCCUGAACGCACCCGAUCUCAUCUGAUCUCAGAAGCUAAGCAGGGAUGGGCCCGGUUAGUACUUGGAUGGGAGAAAUAUUUAGGAGGUAAAGGUAACAUCACC